RNAcentral lists this ribosomal RNA (1306 nucleotides) under uncultured bacterium. RNAcentral's name for it is "bacterial SSU rRNA". It matches the Rfam family "Bacterial small subunit ribosomal RNA", at positions 28 to 1381 of the family's 1533-position model. The record is from RNAcentral.
AACGUACGCUGGCGGCACGCCUAACACAUGCAAGUCGAACGAAGUAGCAAUACUUAGUGGCAGACGGGUGAGUAACAUGUAGGUAUCUGCCCUUUGGCCUGGAAUAACACGAGGAAACUUGUGCUAAUACCGGAUAAGUCUUUACGGAGAAAGCUUUAUGCACCAUUGGAUGAGCCUGCACUUGAUUAGUUUGUUGGUGGGGUAAUGGCCUACCAAGACUGUGAUCAAUAGCUGAUUUGAGAGGAUGAUCAGCCACAUUGGGACUGAGACACGGCCCAAACUCCUACGGGAGGCAGCAGUGGGGAAUCUUGCACAAUGGAGGAAACUCUGAUGCAGCGAUGCCGCGUGAGUGAAGAAGGCCCUUGGGUUGUAAAGCUCUUUCGUCGGGGAAGAAAAUGACUGUACCCGAAUAAGAAGGUCCGGCUAACUUCGUGCCAGCAGCCGCGGUAAUACGAAGGGACCUAGCGUAGUUCGGAAUUACUGGGCUUAAAGAGUUCGUAGGUGGUUGAAAAAGUUAGUGGUGAAAUCCCAGAGCUUAACUCUGGAACUGCCAUUAAAACUUUUCAGCUAGAGUAUGAUAGAGGAAAGCAGAAUUUCUAGUGUAGAGGUGAAAUUCGUAGAUAUUAGAAAGAAUACCAAUUGCGAAGGCAGCUUUCUGGAUCAUUACUGACACUGAGGAACGAAAGCAUGGGUAGCGAAGAGGAUUAGAUACCCUCGUAGUCCAUGCCGUAAACGAUGUGUGUUAGACGUUGGAAAUUUAUUUUCAGUGUCGCAGGGAAACCGAUAAACACACCGCCUGGGGAGUACGACCGCAAGGUUAAAACUCAAAUGAAUUGACGGGGACCCGCACAAGUAGUGGAGCAUGUGGUUUAAUUCGAAGAUACGCGCAGAACCUUACCAACACUUGACAUGUUCGUCGCGACUCUAAGAGAUUAGAGUUUUCGGUUCGGCCGGGCGAAACACAGGUGCUGCAUGGCUGUCGUCAGCUCGUGUCGUGAGAUGUUGGGUUAAGUCCCGCAACGAGCGCAACCCUCACUUUUAGUUGCCAUCAUUAAGUUGGGCACUCUGAAAGAACUGCCAGUGAUAAGCUGGAGGAAGGUGGGGAUGGCGUCAAGUCCUCAUGGCCCUUACGUGUUGGGCUACACACGUGCUACAAUGGUAUCUACAACAGGAAGCAAGACUGCGAAGUUAAGCAAAUCCCUAAAAGAUACCUCAGUUCGGAUUGCACUCUGCAACUCGAGUGCAUGAAGCUGGAAUUACUAGUAAUCGUGGAUCAGCGUGCCACGGUGAAUGCGUUCCCGGGUCU